Molecule: transfer RNA, 74 nt
Filed under: Coemansia sp. RSA 1721
Lineage: Eukaryota; Fungi; Kickxellomycota; Kickxellomycetes; Kickxellales; Kickxellaceae
Also listed under: 4 other names
Description: tRNA-Val
Rfam family: tRNA
About the family: Transfer RNA (tRNA) molecules are approximately 80 nucleotides in length.
Source: RNAcentral
GUUUUCUUGGCGCAGUUGGUUAGCGCGUGUGCUUUACACGCACAAGGUCGCCGGUUCGAUCCCGGCAGGAAACA